CCCUUAGACGUUCUGGGCCGCACGCGCGCUACACUGACCAGUGCAACAAGCAUCCGUCCUUGGCCGACAGGCCCGGGCAAUCUUUGAACGCUGGUCGUGAUGGGGAUAGACUUUUGCAAUUUUUGGUCUUCAACGAGGAAUUCCUAGUAAACGCAAGUCAUCAACUUGCAUUGAUUACGUCCCUGCCCUUUGUACACACCGCCCGUCGCACCUACCGAUUGAAUGGUCCGGUGUAGCCUCCGGAUUGGCGCGCACCUCGGUGCCGCCGAGAAGUUGGCUAAACCUUACCAUUUAGAGGAAGGUGAAGUCGUANCA
RNAcentral lists this ribosomal RNA (315 nucleotides) under uncultured eukaryote. Its description in RNAcentral is "partial 18S ribosomal RNA". It matches the Rfam family "Eukaryotic small subunit ribosomal RNA", at positions 1470 to 1796 of the family's 1831-position model. The record is from RNAcentral.